CAUGUGUUAACUGUUUCGUUAGUUAUAAGGACAUUUCAGCCCAUUACUCAGGGCAGUAUGAAAGGUUGGUAAUAUACUGUCAAGAUCACGGCAGUGGCCUACUUUAAAAUCCACUUCCACGACCCGAAGACGAGGUUCCAUGCCUUCAUGAAAGCGGCUGCUGAACUCUAUCCUCCACCCCUCUAAGGAAGGUUCUUCGGAGUGGUAGACAUCCAAUGAAUCCUUGUGAUGGUCAUGAUGCGACUUGACAAUGCAAUCUGAUAAGGACUGGAGAUGCAGAAGGAUGGGCAGGAGUGGCAUUAAAUGCAACUGGACUUUAGCAUUAGUAUGAAAUUGGCCUUUCAAGAAUGUUCAAGCAACCAGAUUUUCGCUAAGUUGCUGAAGUAGGAGAGAUGACAGCUUUACAGGAAGCACAACUAAGACAAUGUCAUUGGUUAAAUGAAGCACUACUCCCAUUGUCAUAAUUUUUCAGAAUUCGCUGAGAUUUCAAAUUUUUAAAUUCUGAGGUGUAAUUACUUGUCAGAACUGUUAGUUUUAUAUCUAGUCACUCCUUUUGUAAUAUGAACUUGCAUUGGCAUAAAACAUGACAGCUUACAACUAGACCUAGCCAAUUUGGUUAGAUAUGCAUCGUGAACAAUGUUUUGUCUGCUUUUCUGUCAAUUCCUAUAUUGCUGUUCCUAACAAUUUUGAAUAAUCUAAAUUUUUAAAACGUGUGGGUCUUGGUUGUUGGCCCAUACACUUAAAAGCAGAGAUUGCAAUAAUUUAACCUCGC
Long non-coding RNA from Macrobrachium nipponense, 772 nucleotides. RefSeq lists it as uncharacterized. Lineage: Eukaryota; Metazoa; Arthropoda; Malacostraca; Decapoda; Palaemonidae. The record is from RefSeq and is a predicted model, not a curated record. The transcript is spliced from 3 exons.